Molecule: ribosomal RNA, 496 nt
Filed under: uncultured bacterium
Lineage: Bacteria
Description: partial 16S ribosomal RNA
Rfam family: Bacterial small subunit ribosomal RNA
Source: RNAcentral
AUGAACGCUUGCGGCGUGCCUAAUCCCUGCCAGUCGCGCGAACAGACGAGGAGCUUGCUCCUCUGACGUUAGCGGCGAACGGGUGAGUAACACGUGGAUAACCUACCUAUAAGACUGGGAUAACUUCGGGAAACCGGAGCUAAUACCGGAUAAUAUAUUGAACCGCAUGGUUCAAUAGUGAAAGACGGUUUUGCUGUCACUUAUAGAUGGAUCCGCGCCGCAUUAGCUAGUUGGUAAGGUAACGGCUUACCAAGGCAACGAUGCGUAGCCGACCUGAGAGGGUGAUCGGCCACACUGGAACUGAGACACGGUCCAGACUCCUACGGGAGGCAGCAGUAGGGAAUCUUCCGCAAUGGGCGAAAGCCUGACGGAGCAACGCCGCGUGAGUGAUGAAGGUCUUCGGAUCGUAAAACUCUGUUAUUAGGGAAGAACAAAUGUGUAAGUAACUAUGCACGUCUUGACGGUACCUAAUCAGAAAGCCACGGCUAACUACGUG